GAUGAACGCUGGCGGCGUGCCUAAUACAUGCAAGUCGAGCGAACAGAUAAGGCGCUUGCUCCUUUGACGUUAGCGGCGGACGGGUGAGUAACACGUGGGUAACCUACCUAUAAGACUGGGAUAACUUCGGGAAACCGGAGCUAAUACCGUAUAACAUUUGGAACCGCAUGGUUCUAUAGUGAAAGAUGGUUUUGCUAUCACUUAUAGAUGGACCCGCGCCGUAUUAUCUAGUUGGUAAGUUAACGGCUUACCAAGGGAACGAUACGUAGCCGACCUGCGAGGGGGUUCGCCAACACUGGAACUGGGCAAGGGCCAGGACUCCUACGGGAGGCACCAGAAGGGAACCUUCGGCAAUGGGCGAAAGCCUGACGGAGCACGCCCGCGUGAGUGAUGAAGUGUUCCGGUUCGUAAGACCCUGUUAUUGGGGAAGAACAAAGGUGGAAGGAAAUGUGCACGUCGUGACGGUACCUAAUCAGAAAGCCACGGCUAACUACGUG
This 497-nucleotide ribosomal RNA is filed under the name uncultured bacterium. RNAcentral's name for it is "partial 16S ribosomal RNA". It matches the Rfam family "Bacterial small subunit ribosomal RNA", at positions 28 to 507 of the family's 1533-position model. The record is from RNAcentral.